GCCUACGGGAGGCAGCAGUGGGGAAUAUUGGACAAUGGGCGAAAGCCUGAUCCAGCCAUGCCGCGUGUGUGAAGAAGGUCUUCGGAUUGUAAAGCACUUUAAGUUGGGAGGAAGGGUUGUAGAUUAAUACU
This 131-nucleotide ribosomal RNA is filed under the name Pseudomonas sp. enrichment culture. RNAcentral's name for it is "partial 16S ribosomal RNA". It matches the Rfam family "Bacterial small subunit ribosomal RNA", at positions 337 to 468 of the family's 1533-position model. Lineage: Bacteria; Pseudomonadati; Pseudomonadota; Gammaproteobacteria; Pseudomonadales; Pseudomonadaceae. The record is from RNAcentral.